Molecule: ribosomal RNA, 465 nt
Filed under: uncultured crenarchaeote
Lineage: Archaea; Thermoproteati; Thermoproteota
Description: bacterial SSU rRNA
Rfam family: Archaeal small subunit ribosomal RNA
Source: RNAcentral
AAUAAUAACGUGUGAAGGGGUUACCUCGAGUGCCACCUGAAGAAGGUGGCUUUUCCGUGGUCUAAAUAGCCUAGGGAAUAAGAGGGGGGCAAGACUGGUGUCAGCCGCCGCGGUAACACCAGCCCCUCGAGUAGUGGGGAUGAUUAUUUGGCCUAAAGCGUCCGUAGCCGGCCGGGUAAGUUUCCCGUUAAAUCCAACGUAUCAAGCGUUGGACUGCGGGAAAUACUGCCUGGCUAGAGAGUGGGAGAGGUCAGCGGUAUUCUGGGGGUAGGGGCGAAAUCCUUUGAUCCCCGGAGGACCACCAGUGGCGAAGGCUGCUGACUAGAACACGWUGACGGUCAGGGACGAAAGCUGGGGUAGCGAACCGGAUUAGAUACCCGGGUAGUCCCAGCCGUAAACGAUGCAUGCUAGGUGUUGGGUUGGCCACGAGCCACCCCAGUGCCGCAGGGAAGCCGUUAAGCAUGC